Molecule: transfer RNA, 77 nt
Filed under: Rhodospirillaceae bacterium
Lineage: Bacteria; Pseudomonadati; Pseudomonadota; Alphaproteobacteria; Rhodospirillales; Rhodospirillaceae
Description: tRNA-His
Rfam family: tRNA
About the family: Transfer RNA (tRNA) molecules are approximately 80 nucleotides in length.
Source: RNAcentral
GCGGAUGUAGCUCAGUUGGUUAGAGCACCUGGUUGUGGUCCAGGGGGUCGUGGGUUCAAAUCCCAUCAUUCGCCCCA